UCAGGUGCAUUCUGGGUGUAGCGGGAGCAGUUAUCAUCGACAUGAGGCACACUGUAACCAUUUUCUCCUGCUGUUAAAAGCCUGAGCCUCUGCCAGUCAUGGAGGUUAACUGCAUCAUGGAUGAAGAUGGAAAUAAUGCCACAUAACUGGGCAUGGAUCAUAUCACAACCGCAGUGUUAAAAGGGGAUCUCAUCCGUUUGCCAAAAGAAGAAGAAGAUUAUGGAUCCAGGCCAUUAAAAGGGCGGAUUGGGGUCCCGAAGGUCCUAAAGGCGGCAAGAGUCUGUGCAGUGCCCACUUCGUGUCUGGCAUGUUUGUGUUUGCCAACAUGAGCUGGAUAAUGAAUUUUGUUCCAUCAUUGUUCAACACUGUUUCCAGAGACGCCUCAGGAAAGGUGGCAAGUUUUUUCCAAUUUUUUUUCCUUCAGCAGCCCUCAGUCCAAUGUUGGUUUCCUAAAUUGGCCCUCAGCUAUCAAAACUUUGAGAACCCCUGCUCUAGAUUCUUCUGAAGAUGAACGUAAGUUUGUGUCCAGAAAAGAGAUGCACCAACUCAACCUGCAGUACAACCAGCUCCGUGAUGACUAUGAAGCUCUGAAAAGAGAACUGUAUGCCACACAGGAAGAAAACAAACAUCUGAAGGAGCAACUUAAGCAGUCCAAGUUUGGGUUUGAUUCCACAAAAGACACAAAUGCUAAAAUUAUUUUUUUUAACUGGUUUACAGUCAUUACAAAUGUUUAUGUGGCUGCUGGAUAUUGCAAAAAGAAGCACACUUGUGCUUAAGGGUGGGUUAAGUUGGGAGAACCACCUCCUUUUGGUUCUAAUGAAAGUAAGACUUGGACUCACCAACAGAGACCUUGUCUACAGAUUUGGGCUUCCAUUCUCAACUGUAUCAAAAAUAUUAAGAGACUGGAUAUCCAACUUGUCCUCAAUAGUGAAACCUUUGAUAACGUGGCCUAGUAAGGAUGCAGUGAGAGCAAACAUGCCAAAGUGUUUAAACACAAAUGUAGGAAUUGUCGUUGUAUUAUAGACUGUACUGAGAUCUUUAUAGAAAGAACAUACAAUCUUAAAGCAAGGGCUGAAACCUGAUCAAAUUAUAAGCACCAAAACACAAUUAAAUAUCUAAUUGGAAUCACACCAGCAGGAGCUAUAUCUUUUUUGUCUAGUGGGUGGGGAGGUUGUGCCUCUAACAAGGUAAUAACUUUAGGUUCUGGCUUUUUGGGUAAACUUGAGCAUGGGGACGAGAUCCUUGCAGAUAGAGGUUUCCCUGUUAGAGAGGAAUUGGCCAGUGUAGGAGCAACAUUAAGAAUCCCAAGUUUCACGAAGGGGAAAUCUCAGUUGCCUGGUUCUUGUGUUGACACUUCACGUCAGUUGUCAAGAGUCUGCAUACAUGUGGAACGAGUUAUAGGUCAGCUUAAAACCUUUCAUAUACUGAACACUGUCAUAGCCAUCAGUCAAGUCGAUAUGCUAGAUGACAUUUUAACCAUAUGUGCUGGUCUUACGAACCUUAGGGGGACUGUGGUGGCCCGGCGAUAACUGUGUUUAGAGUCAAAGAGAUGUACAUUACUUUACAUGAUUGUGUCAGGCUUUUAAGGGCUAAUGAGGGCAAUGAUCACUCACUACUUGCUCUCUCUGUCUCUCACUUACUCAUCACUCUCUCUGUGUAGCCUGACUGUAAAAUUAAUAACAGUAAUGAAUAACUAAAUAAAUUUUAUCAGACAGGAUCAUUGAGAGUACAAAAAGGUUGAGAACCACACCACAGAGCUAUUUUAUUUAUGAUAAUGGCCAUCUUAGGACCAAGGUUAAGGGACCAUUUAGGAAAAACUCCUUUUAAAGCUGACACGCUAAAUAUUAACAUGCACUGACAAUGUUUUAAAUGCAAUAUAUUGAAGGCAACAUAAUAGAAUCAAAAUGAAAUGUACAUCUGUAACCAAAAGUGUUUUCAACAAUGACAGGUGUAAAUAAUUAAUACUAUAUGAACUCCUAACAUUUAUACCUGGAAAUGAUUUUUUUUCUUGCUUGUAAAUUUUGAGUAUUAUCAUUGUCUGCAGAACUCAAACUGCACUUGUUUCUGGGGAUGAACAAUAUAUAUCAGUGCUGUUUGUGAUUUUAUGUAAAUGUACAUUAAGGAAAAAAUAAAUGAACACUUGAAGAGUC
This is an RNA transcript of Epinephelus moara (kelp grouper), 2150 nucleotides long. It is a transcript of the gene named THAP domain-containing protein 6-like, with no coding region annotated. The transcript is spliced from 5 exons. NCBI's taxonomy places the organism in Eukaryota, Metazoa, Chordata, Actinopteri, Perciformes, Serranidae. The record is from RefSeq and is a predicted model, not a curated record.